Molecule: ribosomal RNA, 819 nt
Filed under: Rhodotorula mucilaginosa
Lineage: Eukaryota; Fungi; Basidiomycota; Microbotryomycetes; Sporidiobolales; Sporidiobolaceae
Description: LSU rRNA
Rfam family: Eukaryotic large subunit ribosomal RNA
Source: RNAcentral
UCCCCUAGUAGCGGCGAGCGAAGCGGGAAGAGCUCAAAUUUAUAAUCUGGCACCUUCGGUGUCCGAGUUGUAAUCUCUAGAAAUGUUUUCCGCGUUGGACCGCACACAAGUCUGUUGGAAUACAGCGGCAUAGUGGUGAGACCCCCGUAUAUGGUGCGGACGCCCAGCGCUUUGUGAUACAUUUUCGAAGAGUCGAGUUGUUUGGGAAUGCAGCUCAAAUUGGGUGGUAAAUUCCAUCUAAAGCUAAAUAUUGGCGAGAGACCGAUAGCGAACAAGUACCGUGAGGGAAAGAUGAAAAGCACUUUGGAAAGAGAGUUAACAGUACGUGAAAUUGUUGGAAGGGAAACGCUUGAAGUCAGACUUGCUUGCCGAGCAAUCGGUUUGCAGGCCAGCAUCAGUUUUCCGGGAUGGAUAAUGGUAGAGAGAAGGUAGCAGUUUCGGCUGUGUUAUAGCUCUCUGCUGGAUACAUCUUGGGGGACUGAGGAACGCAGUGUGCCUUUGGCGGGGGUUUCGACCUCUUCACACUUAGGAUGCUGGUGGAAUGGCUUUAAACGACCCGUCUUGAAACACGGACCAAGGAGUCUAACAUGCUUGCGAGUAUUUGGGUGUCAAACCCGGAUGCGUAAUGAAAGUGAAUGGAGGUGGGAACCGCAAGGUGCACCAUCGACCGAUCUGGAUUUUUAAUGAUGGAUUUGAGUAAGAGCACGUAUGUUGGGACCCGAAAGAUGGUGAACUAUGCCUGAAUAGGGCGAAGCCAGAGGAAACUCUGGUGGAGGCUCGUAGCGGUUCUGACGUGCAAAUCGAUCGUCAAAUUUGGGU